Molecule: ribosomal RNA, 296 nt
Filed under: Salmonella enterica
Lineage: Bacteria; Pseudomonadati; Pseudomonadota; Gammaproteobacteria; Enterobacterales; Enterobacteriaceae
Description: partial 23S ribosomal RNA
Rfam family: Bacterial large subunit ribosomal RNA
Source: RNAcentral
GGUUAAGCGACUAAGCGUACACGGUGGAUGCCCUGGCAGUCAGAGGCGAUGAAGGACGUGCUAAUCUGCGAUAAGCGCCGGUAAGGUGAUAUGAACCGUUAUAACCGGCGAUUUCCGAAUGGGGAAACCCAGUGUGACUCGUCACACUAUCAUUAACUGAAUCCAUAGGUUAAUGAGGCGAACCGGGGGAACUGAAACAUCUAAGUACCCCGAGGAAAAGAAAUCAACCGAGAUUCCCCCAGUAGCGGCGAGCGAACGGGGAGGAGCCCAGAGCCUGAAUCAGCAUGUGUGUUAGU